RNAcentral lists this ribosomal RNA (481 nucleotides) under uncultured organism. RNAcentral's name for it is "partial 16S ribosomal RNA". It matches the Rfam family "Bacterial small subunit ribosomal RNA", at positions 329 to 801 of the family's 1533-position model. The record is from RNAcentral.
ACGUACACUCCUACGGGAGGCAGCAGUGGGGAAUUUUGGACAAUGGGCGAAAGCCUGAUCCAGCCAUGCCGCGUGCAGGAUGAAGGCCUUCGGGUUGUAAACUGCUUUUGUACGGAACGAAACGGCCUUUUCUAAUAAAGAGGGCUAAUGACGGUACCGUAAGAAUAAGCACCGGCUAACUACGUGCCAGCAGCCGCGGUAAUACGUAGGGUGCAAGCGUUAAUCGGAAUUACUGGGCGUAAAGCGUGCGCAGGCGGUUAUGUAAGACAGUUGUGAAAUCCCCGGGCUCAACCUGGGAACUGCAUCUGUGACUGCAUAGCUAGAGUACGGUAGAGGGGGAUGGAAUUCCGCGUGUAGCAGUGAAAUGCGUAGAUAUGCGGAGGAACACCGAUGGCGAAGGCAAUCCCCUGGACCUGUACUGACGCUCAUGCACGAAAGCGUGGGGAGCAAACAGGAUUAGAAACCCCAGUAGUCCCAUGAU